This 360-nucleotide ribosomal RNA is filed under the name uncultured soil bacterium. RNAcentral's name for it is "bacterial SSU rRNA". It matches the Rfam family "Bacterial small subunit ribosomal RNA", at positions 26 to 413 of the family's 1533-position model. The record is from RNAcentral.
AGAGCGAACGCUGGCGGCAGGCCUAACACAUGCAAGUCGAACGGACUCUUCGGAGUUAGUGGCGGACGGGUGAGUAACACGUGGGAACGUGCCUUUUGGUUCGGAAUAGCUCCUGGAAACGGGUGGUAAUGCCGAAUGUGCCCUUCGGGGGAAAGAUUUAUCGCCAUUAGAGCGGCCCGCGUCUGAUUAGCUAGUUGGUGAGGUAAAGGCUCACCAAGCCUUCGAUCUGUAGCUGGUCUGGAGAGGACGACCAGCCACACUGGGACUGAGACACGGCCCAGACUCCUACGGGAGGCAGCAGUGGGGAAUUUUGGACAAUGGGCGAAAGCCUGAUCCAGCCAUGCCGCGUGCAGGAUGGAA